AGCAGUAGCCGCGGUAAUACGAAGGGGGCUAGCGUUGUUCGGAAUUACUGGGCGUAAAGCGCACGUAGGCGGACAUUUAAGUCAGGGGUGAAAUCCCGGGGCUCAACCCCGGAACUGCCUUUGAUACUGGGUGUCUAGAGUAUGGAAGAGGUGAGUGGAAUUCCGAGUGUAGAGGUGAAAUUCGUAGAUAUUCGGAGGAACACCAGUGGCGAAGGCGGCUCACUGGUCCAUUACUGACGCUGAGGUGCGAAAGCGUGGGGAGCAAACAGGAUUAGAUACCCCAGUAGUCCCUGUCUCUUAUAC
Molecule: ribosomal RNA, 303 nt
Filed under: uncultured bacterium
Lineage: Bacteria
Description: partial 16S ribosomal RNA
Rfam family: Bacterial small subunit ribosomal RNA
Source: RNAcentral